UACGAAGGGGGCUAGCGUUGUUCGGAAUUACUGGGCGUAAAGCGCACGUAGGCGGAUACUUAAGUCAGGGGUGAAAUCCCGGGGCUCAACCCCGGAACUGCCUUUGAUACUGGGUAUCUCGAGUCCGGAAGAGGUGAGUGGAAUUCCGAGUGUAGAGGUGAAAUUCGUAGAUAUUCGCAAGAACACCAGUGGCGAAGGCGGCCAACUGGUCCGGUACUGACGCUGAGGUGCGAAAGCGUGGGGAGCAAACAGG
RNAcentral lists this ribosomal RNA (253 nucleotides) under uncultured bacterium. RNAcentral describes it as "partial 16S ribosomal RNA". It matches the Rfam family "Bacterial small subunit ribosomal RNA", at positions 524 to 776 of the family's 1533-position model. The record is from RNAcentral.